Sapajus apella (tufted capuchin) is the source of this 2029-nucleotide RNA transcript. It is a transcript of the gene named ATP-dependent RNA helicase DDX18 pseudogene, with no coding region annotated. NCBI's taxonomy places the organism in Eukaryota, Metazoa, Chordata, Mammalia, Primates, Cebidae. The transcript has a single exon. The record is from RefSeq and is a predicted model, not a curated record.
UGGUGCUAUGGUCUAGGCACUUCUUGGACAGCAUGUCUCACUUGCUGAUGAAACUCCUGUGCAAGAAGAUUGAGAAGUGGAACCUCAAAUUGCAGCAGUGGAACCUGAAGUUGCAGGGGGCCUCAAAUCUGACCCUAUCAGAAAUUCAAAAUGGAGAUGUGUCUGAAGAAACACUGGGAGCUGGAAAGGUUAAAAAAUCAAAACAUUCUAUGAAUGUGGGCUUCUCAGAAGCUCAAAAUGGAGACCUAUCUCAUGAAGCAGGGGAAAAUAUAAAAGUUAAAAAUAUCCCCAGAAAUCUAUUGCAUUAACCAAUGGAGAAGGAGCAAUGCAGUCUCCAGAUUCAGAAUCAAAAGAGAAAUAUGCCGAAUGAUGCUGGGCCUGAUACAAAAAAAGCAAAAACUGAAAACAAAGGGGAUUCUGAAUAAGAAAGUACCAAGACUCCUAAAGAAACAGAAAAUAAUGUGUAGAUGCCAGAUAAUGAGGGAGAUGACAGUGAGGUGCCCAGCCUGCCCCUGAAACUGACAGGAGCUUUUGAGGAUAAUUCAUUUGCUUCUCUAUGCCAUCUUGUCAGUGAAAACACUCUGAAGGCAAUAAAAUAAAUGGGUUUUACAAACAUUACUGAAAUUCAGCAUAAAACUAUCAGACCACUCUGGAAGGCAGGGAUCUUCCAGCAGCUGCAAAAACAGGCAGUGGUAAAACCCUGGCUUUUCUCACCCCUGCAGUUGAACACAUUGUUACAUUAAAGUUCAUGCCCAGGAACGGAAGGGGAGUCCUUAUUCUCUCACCUAGUAGAGAAUUAGCCACGCCCAGUUCACGAUUAUCUCCUUUUUCUCUGAAAAAGGAGCCAUUGUACAUUGCUGUUGAUGAUGAUAAAGCUAAUGCAACAGUGGAUGGUCUUGAGCAGGGACAUGUUGUUCGUCCCUCUGAAAAGAGAUUCCUUCUCUUCUUUACAUUCCUUGAGAAGAACUGAAAGAAGGUGCUCAUGGUCUUUUCAUCUUGUAUGUCCGUGAACUACCACUGUGAGUUGCUGAACUACAUUGAUUUGCCUGUCUUGGCCAGUCAUGAAAAGCAAAAGCAAAAUAAGCGUACAGCCACAUUCUUCCAGUUCUGCAACGCAGAUUCAGGAACACUAUUAUAUACAGAUGUGGCAGCAGGAGGACUGGACAUUCCUGAAGUUGACUGGAUUAUUCAGUAUGAUGACCCUAAGGAAUAUAGGCAUCUUGUGGGUAGAACAGCCAGAGGUCUAAAUGGGAGAGGGCACACCCUGCUCAUUUUGCACCCAAAAGAAUUAGAUUUUCUUCACUAUUUGAAACAAUCCAACGUUCCAUUAAGUGAAUUUGACUGUUUCUGGUCUAAAAUUUCUGACACUCAGCCUCAGCUUGAGAAAUUGAUUGAAAAAACUACUUUCUUAAUAAGUCAGCCCAGGAAGCGUUUAAGUCAUACAUACGAGCCUAUGAUUCCCAUUCUCUGAAACAGAUCUUUAAUGUCAGUAACUUAAAUUUGCCUCAAGUUAUUCUGUCAUUCAGUUUCAAGGUGGCUCCCUUUGUUGAUCUGAACAUCAACAGCAAUGAAAGCAAGAAGAAAAAGCGAGGAGGCAGUGGUAGAUUUGGCUACAAGAAAACCAAGAAAGUUGAGAAGUCCAAAAUCUUUAAACACUUUAGCAAGAAAUCAUCUGACAGCAGGCAGUUCUCCCACUGAAGACAUGCCUUUCUUUCAUCUUGAAUAACUUUGUCCUAAAAUGAAUUUUUUCCCCUUGAUUUAACAGAUUUUUUGUAGCUUUUAGAAUUUGGACUUAUCUAACAAGAAUUUAAAUUGACUUGGGUUGCAAGCACUGAGCACUGUUACUUCUAUCAAGUCUCUUUUUUAUUUUGGGGAUGUAAAACAGGCUUUAAUUUUCUUGGUUCCCCAAGGGCAGGGCAAGGAAUAUCUGGUCUUAUUGUGAUUAUAUUUUUUAAUUUUAAAUAUCCCUCCCUCAUACAUACAAAUAUAUGUUACUGUUUUAAUAUAAUUCUUUUUGUACAUUUAAAAA